This 284-nucleotide ribosomal RNA is filed under the name Anaerostipes hadrus ATCC 29173 = JCM 17467. RNAcentral's name for it is "Anaerostipes hadrus DSM 3319 partial 16S ribosomal RNA". It matches the Rfam family "Bacterial small subunit ribosomal RNA", at positions 493 to 776 of the family's 1533-position model. The record is from RNAcentral. Lineage: Bacteria; Bacillati; Bacillota; Clostridia; Lachnospirales; Lachnospiraceae.
UAUGGUAAUUGUGUGCCAGCCUCCGCUUGACUACGUAGGGGGCAAGCGUUAUCCGGAAUUACUGGGUGUAAAGGGUGCGUAGGUGGUAUGGCAAGUCAGAAGUGAAAACCCAGGGCUUAACUCUGGGACUGCUUUUGAAACUGUCAGACUGGAGUGCAGGAGAGGUAAGCGGAAUUCCUAGUGUAGCGGUGAAAUGCGUAGAUAUUAGGAGGAACAUCAGUGGCGAAGGCGGCUUACUGGACUGAAACUGACACUGAGGCACGAAAGCGUGGGGAGCAAACAGG